GCAUAUCAAUAAGCGGAGGAAAAGAAACUAACUAAGGCAUCCCUUAGUAACUGCGAAGUGAAGCGGGAAAAGCUCAAAUUUAAAAUCUGGCGGUCUUUGGCCGUCCGAGUUGUAGUCUGGAGAAGUGUCUUCCGCGCUGGACCGUGUACAAGUCUCCUGGAACGGAGCGUCGUAGAGGGUGAGAAUCCCGUCUUUGACACGGACUACCAGUGCUUUGUGAUGCGCUCUCAAAGAGUCGAGUUGUUUGGGAAUGCAGCUCAAAAUGGGUGGUGAAUUCCAUCUAAAGCUAAAUAUUGGCGAGAGACCGAUAGCGAACAAGUACCGUGAGGGAAAGAUGAAAAGCACUUUGGAAAGAGAGUUAAACAGUACGUGAAAUUGCUGAAAGGGAAACGAUUGAAGUCAGUCGCGUCGUCCGGAACUCAGCCUUGCUUCGGCUCGGUGCACUUUCCGGUUGACGGGCCAGCAUCGAUUUUGACCGUCGGAAAAAGGUCGAGGGAAUGUGGCACCUUCGGGUGUGUUAUAGCCCUCGGUCACAUACGACGGUUGGGAUCGAGGAACUCAGCACGCCUUUAUGGUCGGGGUUCGCCCACGUAACGUGCUUAGGAUGCUGGCGUAAUGGCUUUAAACGACCCGUCUUGAAACACGGACCAAGGAGUCUAACAUGCCUGCGAGUGUUCGGGUGGAAAACCCGUGCGCGCAAUGAAAGUGAAAGUUGAGAUCCCUGUCGCGGGGAGCAUCGACGCCCGGCCCAGAAGUUUUCUGACGGUGCUGCGGUAGAGCAUGUAUGUUGGGACCCGAAAGAUGGUGAACUAUGCCUGAAUAGGGUGAAGCCAGAGGAAACUCUGGUGGGAGGCUCGUAGCGAUUCUGACGUGCAAAUCGAUCGUCAAAUUUGGGGUAUAGGGGGCGAAAGACUAAUCGAACCAUCUAGUAGCUGGGUACUGCGA
Molecule: ribosomal RNA, 945 nt
Filed under: Mycoleptodonoides aitchisonii
Lineage: Eukaryota; Fungi; Basidiomycota; Agaricomycetes; Polyporales
Description: LSU rRNA
Rfam family: Eukaryotic large subunit ribosomal RNA
Source: RNAcentral